CGGCCAAUAAGGGUAUCCGGAUUAUUGGGCGUAAGCGAGCGCAGGCGGUCUUUUAAGUCUAAUGUGAAAGCCUUCGGCUCAACCGAAGAAGUGCAUUGGAAACUGGGAGACUUGAGUGCAGAAGAGGACAGUGGAACUCCAUGUGUAGCGGUGAAAUGCGUAGAUAUAUGGAAGAACACCAGUGGCGAAGGCGGCUGUCUGGUCUGCAACUGACGCUGAGGCUCGAAAGCAUGGGUAGCGAACAGGAUUAGAUACCCUGGUAGUCCAUGCCGUAAACGAUGAUUACUAAGUGUUGGAGGGUUUCCGCCCUUCAGUGCUGCAGCUAACGCAUUAAGUAAUCCGCCUGGGGAGUACGACCGCAAGGUUGAAACUCAAAAGAAUUGACGGGGGCCCGCACAAGCGGUGGAGCAUGUGGUUUAAUUCGAAGCUACGCGAAGAACCUUACCAGGUCUUGACAUCUUCUGACAGUCUAAGAGAUUAGAGGUUCCCUUCGGGGACAGAAUGACAGGUGGUGCAUGGUUGUCGUCACCUCGUGUCUUGAGAUGUUGGGUUAAGUCCCGCAACGAGCGCGGCCCUUAUUACUGGUUGCCACCCUUGAGUUGGGCACUCUAGUGAGACUGCCGGUGACAAACCGGACGAAGGUGGGGACGAUCUCCCAUCAUUAUGCCCCUUAUGACCUUGGCUACGGACGUGCUAUGAUGGAUGGUGCAAUCAGUUUCCAGACUUCGAGGUGCAGCUCAUCUCUUGAAACCAUUGGCUUUUCAUAAUAUAUGCAGCAACUCCCCUACUGCAAUUCACGAAUCACUAAUAGUCGCAGAUCUUGCGCCGCCGUGAAUACGUCCCCGCGCGGAGAAA
Molecule: ribosomal RNA, 855 nt
Filed under: Lactiplantibacillus plantarum
Lineage: Bacteria; Bacillati; Bacillota; Bacilli; Lactobacillales; Lactobacillaceae
Description: bacterial SSU rRNA
Rfam family: Bacterial small subunit ribosomal RNA
Source: RNAcentral